Molecule: small RNA, 2199 nt
Filed under: Pan troglodytes (chimpanzee)
Lineage: Eukaryota; Metazoa; Chordata; Mammalia; Primates; Hominidae
Description: retained intron
Source: RNAcentral
GAGGAGCGGCGCCCGCUGGGCAGCGAGGAGCCCGAUGCAGGAUUCUGCGCGUCAUUUCCGGUCCCGCGGGCGCCCCGUGAAGCCCACCUGGAUCCGCCAGCGCUGUGCCACUCCCCAGUGCCGAGCUCCGAGCUGUCUCCGCGGCCUCGCGCCCGGCCCCUCCACCGCGCGCCUCUCAGGCCCCGCCCGCCAGCGUCCCUUUGUUGUGAAGGCGCCGGGGCCUGGCGCUAUGCCUGCGGCGGAGACUGCAUCAGGCUGUCGCGUCUGUUUCUACGCUUUGCCUGGGAGAGGCCCUGGUGGCCUCGUUCCUGGCGCCCGGAGUCCCUGCUGCGGCCCCACCCCCGGGCGGUCACGGUGACCCAUGCUGCCCAGCCUGGAGGUAAAAUCGUUCGUGGCUGUGGCUUCAGCAUGUCGUCCUCGGUGAAAACCCCGGCACUGGAAGAGCUCGUUCCUGGCUCCGAAGAGAAGCCGAAAGGCAGGUCGCCUCUCAGCUGGGGCUCUCUGUUUGGUCACCGAAGUGAGAAGAUUGUUUUUGCCAAGAGCGACGGCGGCGCAGAUGAGAACGUACUCACCGUCACCAUCACGGAGACCACGGUCAUCGAGUCAGACUUGGGUGUGUGGAGCUCGCGGGCGCUGCUCUACCUCACGCUGUGGUUCUUCUUCAGCUUCUGCACGCUCUUCCUCAACAAGUACAUCCUGUCCCUGCUGGGAGGCGAGCCCAGCAUGCUAGGUGCGGUGCAGAUGCUGUCCACCACCGUUAUCGGGUGUGUGAAAACCCUCGUUCCUUGCUGUUUAUAUCAGCACAAGGCCCGGCUUUCCUACCCACCCAACUUCCUUAUGACGAUGCUGUUUGUGGGUCUGAUGAGGUUUGCAACUGUGGUUUUGGGUUUGGUCAGCCUGAAAAAUGUGGCGGUUUCGUUUGCUGAGACGGUGAAGAGCUCCGCCCCCAUCUUCACGGUGAUCAUGUCUCGGAUGAUUCUGGGGGAGUACACAGGGCUGCUGGUCAACCUCUCCCUCAUCCCAGUCAUGGGCGGGCUGGCGCUGUGCACGGCCACUGAGAUCAGCUUCAACGUCCUGGGGUUCUCGGCCGCACUGUCCACCAACAUCAUGGACUGGUGAGUCACAGAGAAGGUGGGCGUGAGGGGGACGAGACCCGGUGCUCACCUGCGUCUGGGUGUGCGGAUUCUCAGGUGAGCUGAGAAUUCCUCCCGUGAGCCAAAGCAGGUGCGUCCAAUGCUGCCCUUUCCUAAAGAGCAAAACAACAGGUAUCCCCGGAAGGUAAGUUUCUAAAAAAUAAGCCGAAAUUUCAGGAUGGACGGUCUUGGUACUUAAAAUGCUAACCAUGGAGACACGGUUAGCUGAUAAAUGCUGAAAUGCGCAGAUACGCUCAGCAGUGUGUCUCGCUCAGUGUGUCUUCAUGCAGCUGCCAGAGCAGGGACAGUCCCCCAGCGGCAGGUUCUGCCUGUUUGGGAGCUGCACGGCCUCCAGGUCAGGCGGAUCCUCUGCUUCCUUGGUGGCCAUCUGUGUCCUGGUGUCACGAUGGCAGGAAGGAUGAGAGGCCGACUCCCACAGCGAGGACAGCGCAUGGCAGGGUCCCAGAGGAGAGGGCCCUGUUAUUUACGUCUUUGUCACUCGGUAGAGAAGAGCGGUGGACGCUGCACUUCGGGGGCCGUUCAGAUUCACCCAGAAUUGGGCGUCCACCUCCCUGCCGUGCUGUUAAUGGCCACAUUCCAGCCCUGGCAAAACCUGCCCUUUGAGAAUGACCGGCUUCUAGGCUUUUUCUGCUUUUGAGGAAAGAAAGGAAAAGACACCACCACUGGUGUCUGAGAGUUUAUCAUUAUUACUGAUAAUCAAAACAGGUUUGUGGUGAGAUUUUGAAUAAUAUAGAAGUAAAAAUAAAAAUAUGUUGGGCACAGUGGCUCACGCCUGUAAUCCCAGCACUUUGGGAGGCCAAGGCGGGUGGAUCACGAGGUCAGGAGAUCGAGACCAUCCUGGCUAACAUGGUGAAACCCCAUCUCUACUAAAAAUACAAAAGAUUAGUCGGGCGUGGUGGCGGACGCCUGUAGUCCCAGCUACUUGGGAGGCCGAGGAGAGUGGCGUGAACCUGGGAGGCGGAGCUUGCAGUGAGCCGAGAUCGCGCCACCACACUCCAGCCUGGGCGACAGAGCCAGACUCUGUCUCAAAAAAAAAAAAAAAAAA